AUGAAAAAAUAGAAAAGAAAUAAAAAAACUUCAAAUACCACCAUUGUGGUUUUGCACUUUCUCAUUUUGUUACCCUGUGGUUUAAAAUGUAUCGAUUUAGUACUCUGUGAUUAUAUUUUUCUCUUUUUAUUGUACGUUCUACUAAUUUUUUCGUUAAAUUAGUGACAAAGUAAAAAUUAAAAAAUACUAAAAUGAAUAUUCGAUAAACCUAGAUGUGCUAUCUGAAGUUUUUUUAUACAUAAUUUAAUGAAAUAUUAACGAAGGAGCUGACGAAAAGGAAAAAAAUGAAACCACAGAAUAUUAAAUUGAUACACAUUAAAUUGUAAGAUACUAAAAUGACAAAAUAGGAAACUACAGGGUAAUAUUU
This 367-nucleotide long non-coding RNA is filed under the name Ananas comosus (pineapple). Its description in RNAcentral is "long non-coding RNA (ACOM_LNC015955)". The record is from RNAcentral. Lineage: Eukaryota; Viridiplantae; Streptophyta; Magnoliopsida; Poales; Bromeliaceae.